This 453-nucleotide ribosomal RNA is filed under the name Burkholderia cepacia. RNAcentral describes it as "bacterial SSU rRNA". It matches the Rfam family "Bacterial small subunit ribosomal RNA", at positions 30 to 474 of the family's 1533-position model. Lineage: Bacteria; Pseudomonadati; Pseudomonadota; Betaproteobacteria; Burkholderiales; Burkholderiaceae. The record is from RNAcentral.
AUUGAACGCUGGCGGCAUGCCUUACACAUGCAAGUCGAACGGCAGCACGGGUGCUUGCACCUGGUGGCGAGUGGCGAACGGGUGAGUAAUACAUCGGAACAUGUCCUGUAGUGGGGGAUAGCCCGGCGAAAGCCGGAUUAAUACCGCAUACGAUCUACGGAUGAAAGCGGGGGACCUUCGGGCCUCGCGCUAUAGGGUUGGCCGAUGGCUGAUUAGCUAGUUGGUGGGGUAAAGGCCUACCAAGGCGACGAUCAGUAGCUGGUCUGAGAGGACGACCAGCCACACUGGGACUGAGACACGGCCCAGACUCCUACGGGAGGCAGCAGUGGGGAAUUUUGGACAAUGGGCGAAAGCCUGAUCCAGCAAUGCCGCGUGUGUGAAGAAGGCCUUCGGGUUGUAAAGCACUUUUGUCCGGAAAGAAAUCCUUGGCUCUAAUACAGUCGGGGGAUGACG